RNAcentral lists this ribosomal RNA (465 nucleotides) under uncultured bacterium. Its description in RNAcentral is "partial 16S ribosomal RNA". It matches the Rfam family "Bacterial small subunit ribosomal RNA", at positions 28 to 507 of the family's 1533-position model. The record is from RNAcentral.
GACGAACGCUGGCGGCGUGCUUAACACAUGCCAGUCGAACGGAAAGGCCCUGCUUGCAGGGUACUCGAGUGGCGAACGGGUGAGUAACACGUGGGUGAUCUGCCCUGCACUUCGGGAUAAGCCUGGGAAACUGGGUCUAAUACCGGAUAGGAGCCAUUUUUAGUGUGAUGGUUGGAAAGUUUUUUCGGUGUAGGAUGAGCUCGCGGCCUAUCAGCUUGUUGGUGGGGUAAUGGCCUACCAAGGCGGCGACGGGUAGCCGGCCUGAGAGGGUGGACGGCCACAUUGGGACUGAGAUACGGCCCAGACUCCUACGGGAGGCAGCAGUGGGGAAUAUUGCACAAUGGGCGCAAGCCGGAUGCAGCGACGCCGCGUGGGGGAUGACGGCCUUAGGGUUGUAAACUCCUUUCGCUAGGGACGAAGCUUUUUGUGACGGUACCUAGAUAAGAAGCACCGGCUAACUACGUG